CUUCAGCUUACUGCUUUUUGGCUGCUUCUUGAGGCUUCAAGCUCCAAAAAUACCCAUGUCUAAGACAACCCCCAACAGAACUCCAGGGGACCUUGGCAAGACUUCCCAGCCAUCCCUACUGCCCAGACAAGCUGCCAUACUCGCUGACAGUGGAUUAGGGAACUACCUGUGAUGUCUUCCUAUCCUCAGCCCAACUUGGUCAGAUCGACAGUGGUUUUUCUAGCUCCCCCGAAGAGCUCGCAUUUCUGAAGACAAGACAAACAGAUUUUUGAUUAGAAGAGUCAAUUCCAUUUAUUGGAGGGGAAUAAAGUCAUGUUACUUUUCACAAACGGGUGGUAUCACCUUGCCCCUUACAUGUGAAAGGACCAAUGCAGUAGUUUGUGCAAAAUGAGUUGGAGUGGCAUAGGGUCUGUGAACAAGCGGCGUACUCACCUUCUCUUCUGAUUUCCACACCCACUACCCUUGUGGAGGUAGUGGAGGCUUAUGAAGGAGUCUUUCUGCCCUCAUGUGGUCUCUGUUCCCCAAAUGGUAUUUUCUACAUGGAUGUCUUCCUUGGGGCAGGGAAGAAGAACCAGCUAGUGACUCAGUGACUGCUGAAUCUUUGAUUCAUAUACCUUAUGGGGCUGCUUUUCAGAUGAUGGCUCAGGCCCAAUGGAAUCCCUGGUAAGUGGGAGGCUAAAAUAGCUUCCAUUUCACCUGACAUUUGUCCACUGAGUGAGGCCUACACUAUCCUGGUACACUGCAGGAGUCACACCACUGAUAUGGGCAGGGAUAGCAAAUUACUGUGGGCACCUCAGGUUGUCUUUUCUAAGGAAGACUUUCUCCUACUGCCUAAGAGCCUCUAGUCUUGGGACUCUAUUUCCCGAUGUAUAAAUUACCUCUGUCAUCUAAAAUAAACGAUCUUGCAGUUGUGAAGUUAUCUGUUUCCUGUUACUUUUUCUUGUGAUCACUGAACUUCUGCUUUCCUCUCUCUUCACAAGAAAUUUUUUAGAAUUGGAGACAAAACCAAGAAGAGGAAACCUUUGUAACCCUUCCUCACAGAAGAAUGUAUUUUUUGGUGAUCCUGACUUUUCUAGGACGAAUUACUGGUGAGACUUUCUUUCAUCAUUAUGAAAAUGGAAAUUUCACACUUACGUGCAAUGAAACAGUGGCUAAUGGGAAGAAGGAAACAGUUUGGUAUGAAACUGAAGAAACUCUGCAAAAAUUCCAAGUAAUCAAAUGCAGUAAUCAACAGCCCAAAGUAAUCAACGGACCAAACAAAUGCUCUGAUAAAACAAAGUGUACAAACCAAUUAUCAAAUUCUGCUUCCAGAGGUGGUGGGGUAUUUGCAUGUGAGCAAUUUACAAAUACUGGAACAUCACAGACUUGCCCACUUUUUACCAAUGUGACUCACUGCAGACAUUAUAACUUUUUUAUUGUGGUGAUAAUAAACCUGACUGCAGAUAAGGAGACAUUUGAGACCAUUCCUGCAAAAUCACACAAUAAUCAGUUAGUACAAGAAGAAAGUAACAUCACUCUCUCUUGUGAAUUUCAAAUGAAGCGCUCAGGACAACCAUUUAUUAUAUAUUGGAUCAAAUAUACAGAAACAAGCAAAUGCCUGAUUUCUGUUGAGAGAGAGCUAUAUACUUUCUCAUAUAAUACACAUUGCUGUAUUGAUGAGAUGAUCAAAGGACGACUAUUGAACUAUACAAGCUUAGAUUCAGACAAGACACAUGUAGUCCAUAAUAUGACCAUCUUGAAUGUUACUGACUCUGACAGUGGAACUUAUUUAUGUGUUGUAAAUGCCUGGUCAAGAGGUAAACAUGUGUGGAAGAUUGCAAAUAACCUUUCUAUAGAA
Non-coding RNA from Chrysemys picta bellii (western painted turtle), 1837 nucleotides. The record is from RefSeq and is a predicted model, not a curated record. Lineage: Eukaryota; Metazoa; Chordata; Testudines; Emydidae.